RNAcentral lists this transfer RNA (73 nucleotides) under Colletotrichum higginsianum. RNAcentral describes it as "tRNA-Arg". It matches the Rfam family "tRNA". From Rfam's summary of the family: Transfer RNA (tRNA) molecules are approximately 80 nucleotides in length. Their secondary structure includes four short double-helical elements and three loops (D, anti-codon, and T loops). The record is from RNAcentral. RNAcentral also lists the same sequence under 4 other names. Lineage: Eukaryota; Fungi; Ascomycota; Sordariomycetes; Glomerellales; Glomerellaceae.
GGCCGGCUGGCCUAAUGGCUAAGGCGUCGGAUUCCUAAUCCGAAGAUUCUGGGUUCGAGUCCCAGGUUGGUCG